This 690-nucleotide ribosomal RNA is filed under the name uncultured Acidobacteriota bacterium. RNAcentral describes it as "bacterial SSU rRNA". It matches the Rfam family "Bacterial small subunit ribosomal RNA", at positions 15 to 684 of the family's 1533-position model. The record is from RNAcentral. Lineage: Bacteria; Pseudomonadati; Acidobacteriota.
GAUCCUGGCUCAGAAUCAACGCUGGCGGCGUGCCUAGCACAUGCAAGUCGAACGCGAAAGCCCCGAAAGGGGCAAGUAGAGUGGCAAACGGGUGAGUAACACGUGGGUGACCUGCCUUCGAGCGGGGGAUAACGUCCCGAAAGGGACGCUAAUACCGCAUAACAUCCUGCCUUUGAAGAGGUGGAGAUCAAAGCUGGGGAUCGCAAGACCCGGCACUUGAAGAGGGGCCCGCGUCUGAUUAGCUAGUUGGUGGGGUAACGGCCUACCAAGGCAACGAUCAGUAUCCGGCCUGAGAGGGCGGACGGACACACUGGGACUGAGACACGGCCCAGACUCCUACGGGAGGCAGCAGUGGGGAAUUGUUCGCAAUGGGCGCAAGCCUGACGACGCAACGCCGCGUGGAGGAUGAAGAUUUUCGGAUCGUAAACUCCUGUCGAAUGGGACGAACAGAUUGCGGGUUAACAGCCCGUAGUCCUGACGGUACCGUUAAAGGAAACCCCGGCUAACUCCGUGCCAGCAGCCGCGGUAAUACGGGGGGGGUAAGCGUUGUUCGGAAUUACUGGGCGUAAAGGGCUCGUAGGCGGCCAACUAAGUCAUACGUGAAAUCCCUCAGCUUAACUGGGGAACUGCGUGUGAUACUGGAUGGCUUGGAUUUGGGAGAGGGAUGCGGAAUUCCAGGUGUAGCGGUGA